CAGUCGCCGCGGUAAUACGUAUGUCACAAGCGUUAUCCGGAUUUAUUGGGCGUAAGCGCGUCUAGGUGGUUAUGUAAGACUGAUGUGAAAAUGCAGGGCUCAACUCUGUAUUGCGUUGGAAACUGUGUAACUAGAGUACUGGAGAGGUAAGCGGAACUACAAGUGUAGAGGUGAAAUUCGUAGAUAUCUGUAGGAAUGCCGAUGGGGAAGCCAGCUUACUGGACAGAUACUGACGCUAAAGCGCGAAAGCGUGGGUAGCAAACAGGAUUAGAUACCCGUGUAGUCCCUGUCUCUUAUACAC
This 301-nucleotide ribosomal RNA is filed under the name uncultured bacterium. RNAcentral's name for it is "partial 16S ribosomal RNA". It matches the Rfam family "Bacterial small subunit ribosomal RNA", at positions 509 to 809 of the family's 1533-position model. The record is from RNAcentral.